AAAAAGACAAACCCUGGUUUUCGUGUUCAAUGUUUGACCGUCCGUCUUAUUUAAAAAAAUAUGAAAAUAAUUAAAAAGAUAAGUCACGCAUAAAGUAUUAAUCAUAUUUUAUCAUCUAACAACAAUAAAAAUACUAAUUAUAAAAAAUUUUUAUAUAAGACGAACAAUCAAACGUUGGUACGGUUUUUUGGACGGAGGGAGU
This is a microRNA precursor of Oryza sativa Japonica Group (Japanese rice), 202 nucleotides long. It matches the Rfam family "MIR812 microRNA precursor family". Lineage: Eukaryota; Viridiplantae; Streptophyta; Magnoliopsida; Poales; Poaceae. The record is from Rfam.